GCGGGUGUCGUAUAAUGGCUUAUUAUGUCUGCCUUCCAAGCAGAAGACGUCAGUUCGAUUCUGAUCACCCGCU
RNAcentral lists this transfer RNA (73 nucleotides) under bacterium. Its description in RNAcentral is "tRNA-Gly". It matches the Rfam family "tRNA". From Rfam's summary of the family: Transfer RNA (tRNA) molecules are approximately 80 nucleotides in length. The record is from RNAcentral.